Molecule: ribosomal RNA, 277 nt
Filed under: uncultured bacterium
Lineage: Bacteria
Description: partial 16S ribosomal RNA
Rfam family: Bacterial small subunit ribosomal RNA
Source: RNAcentral
AUUGAACGCUGGCGGCAUGCCUAACACAUGCAAGUCGAACGAGAGCGGGGCAACUCGCUCUAGUGGCGGACGGGUGAGCAAUGCGUAGGAACCUGCCCUGAAGUGGGGGAUAGCCCGGCGAAAGCCGGAUUAAUACCGCAUGAUCUCGAAAGAGCAAAGUGGGGGAUCGCAAGACCUCACGCUUUUGGAGGGGCCUACGUCGGAUUAGCUAGUUGGUGGGGUAACGGCCCACCAAGGCGACGAUCCGUAGCUGGUCUGAGAGGAUGAUCAGCCACAC